UCAAAUUAAGCACAUUGUACCGUGCAUGGUUCAAAAUCUUUUAACCAAUGUGGACUGUCAAACAGCUUCAGCUGUUCCCAGAAGAGAACAAUAUAACUAGCUGAUAUGAAUAAUGUUUGUAAAUCUGAAUAAUAGCACUUCCUGAAAAACAAUGUCUUUUUCUGUAUAUGUCUUUUUAUUACCUGCAGCUCUUUCAUCACCCACCAUCUGCUCUUUGAUUCAGCUCUUUCCUUUUUCCCAUGCUAAUAGCUGUUAACACUGAACCUGCCUGUUACAGUUCAGGCUGUAAACAGCAUGAAAAUAUUCAGCGUUGCUGGUGUCAAGAAUCUUCAGUGCAGUCUCAGACUUUAAAGGGCAAGAACAAAUCCAGACAAGAUUUGGAAGAGCUCUUUCAUCAGAUCAAAAUAUUUAUAAUGUCAAUGCCAAUCAGAUGAUGGAUCGCUGCACCUUCUUAGAGAAACAGCUGUAUUCCAAAAUUCAGCCGUAGGUCUGUAUAUGAAACGUAGAAAAUAUGACAUGCUUCCUGAUGAAAUAGUGAGUUCUAGGCCAACAAACAUACCAGUCAAAAUAGUUAAGUGCUAAUUACUUUGUCACUAGUACCUAAUGAAUUUCACCAGUACCUAAUGAAUUUGCUCAUAGCUGUCUCCUUUAAAGCUAAUUAAAUGCCUGAACAGACCUUCCAUGUUUAAUAAACUAAUACGAAUGAUUCAUUUAUAGCAUGUGCAUUUUUGAAUAAUUACUAAGCAGCUGUUCUUAUCUCCAGUAUUUUUAUUAAACCUCAGCAAUCAGUUUUAACAAUAAUUCAGUAUUUAAAUUGCAUGAUCUUGAAAACUUGUUUAUAUUGAUUUGUGUUUCUUCUUUCAAAUGAUUUUAUUUCAGUAUACACUGUGAUUUGUCAACAUGUAUAGAAUUUAAUUUUAGUUGCUAGUAAUAAGUUACUUACAAUUUAAUAAUUACAUUGCAGGACAAUGGAUUUUCUUCUUAUCUGUAUUGCUGUGUUAAUUCUUCCCAAGGAUUCGUCCAGCCCAGUAUUCUGUUCCAAAAGUGGUCAUGAGCAGGCACAGAAAAAAAUCUGUUUCCAGGUGCACACCCAGGUUUUGCAAGAGCCCAUGUGAAAUAUGCAUCCAUAACAACCCUUACUGCCCCUUGUCUGGCUCUCCCCCUGUUCUUUUGUGAUCGGUCUUAGUUCUUGCUUUGUAAGGAACAGUUUAUCAUCAAUCUCCAUUCCCUUUCUUCUUGCCAUACCUGCAGAUCUCUGUACUUUCCUCCUCCAGUCUUUGCUCCUCCAGACUGAAGACACCAAGCCUUCUCAGUUAUUCAAAGCAGAAUGCUACAUGUCACCCCCACAAAAUGCCCUGUGCACACCUCUGUUUCCUUGUUCAUGAGGUGAAAACAAUUGUACUUUUUAAUCUUUUUCAAGCACUUUGGUAUGUAAGAAAGAAUGUUAUUCUGUUCCGCUUACAUAUCCUUUCAAACAGAAAAUUAUUAUUAUUAUUAUUAUAGGAAUCUUCUCUGGAGAUAUUCAAGACCUGCCUGGAUGCUUUCUUGUUCAACCUACUGUAAGGAACCUCAUUGUAGCAAGGGGGUGAACUUAAUGAUCUCCAGAGGUCCCUUCCAACAUCUACAAUUUUGUGAUUCAGUGAUUAUUAAUGCUAAAAUUAAAACAAUGGAGUUUAAUUUGUUUCUACUUCUUUGGCUUAUUUGAUUAGUGGUUAUUUUUGUCAAUAAGAAGGCAUUCAAUACAGGUUGAUAUAGUAGAUGUUAAAUAGCAGAUCUUAAAUGUUAUAUUUGUCUUAUAACUAAUAUUUGAAUGAGUUUAUCAAAUGAACAGGUGUGUAAUACAUGCAAAUGCAUAAAAAUAUAGACAGGUGUUAGGGACAUAAUAUAGGAACAUAUUAUAAACAUAAUAUAGGAACAUAAUAUAAAGCAAUAGAGAAUGCAUGUUUGCUCUUUUGCGAAUGAGAUUUGCUAGUACCAAAAAUGAAUGCAUGAGAUAUUCUACUUCCUGCUGGUAAAAGAUUUCUGUGGAUAUGGUGAGGAAGACUCUAAAUAAUGAGAGGAAAUUAAAUCAGAAACAGGUCAGCUCAGAUUCCUAUCUUAUUAAAAACAAAUGAAUUUGGAUAAUGUGUUUUUCUUCUUGCUAGACAAUCAGUGCUGUACAGUCUGUGAUUUGUCCUUUGGAGGAAGGGUCACUGAGAGAAGUCCAUUAGGUCAUUGCCAAUCUGUUAGCAGAGAGGUUCAGUGCUGGGAACUAACCUGAGCUGACACGAGAACAGCUGUGGGUCCUAACAAGUGGAUGGCAUGCACAGACUGUCUUGAACGUGGACAAAAACACAGGCUUUAUGUAUUUCUAAUCAAAUGGUGUAUUAAUCCUCAUGUACAGACAUGCAGGAUACCAAAUAGCAACACACACUUCAAAGCUCUUGCUGAGUAUCAAAAUGAAUGCUACUAAAAUGAAUGAAUAUAUGAAUGAUUCACAGAAGCUAGAGCUAAAAAACAAAACAAAACAAAACAAAACAAACAAAAAUAGAUAUCAAUACUUUUGUUCUUUUUCCCUAAGUGAAUUAUGUAAUGAUGCAGGAAGACUAAUUAAGUUAAUAUGCUGUCUUCAGAAAUUUUCUGCUAUUGCAGAUGCCAAAAUUUGUCCUUCAUUGUACAAUUUAGGAUUUCAAGGGUGUGUGCUGUAUUAUAGAAGCUACCCAGUCCUUGCUAGCCUAACAAAUCUACCAUUCUUUAAACAAAUGUAUUUUGACCUUGACAGUCAAUUGUUUUUAUGAUUUAUUAAAUCAAUGGCUGAAUGUUUAAAGUAAUUACUAGGUUUUAAAUGCCUGCCUAGUACAGCAGGAACUGAACAGGUAUGGCUUUAUUUCUACUGAAAAUGAUUCAUUUUGCAAACUGAAUUUCCUCAAAUUUCUUUCCUUCCUGGUUUCCAAGUUUAAGUCUCAUUCCUUCAAACAAUCAAUGUCAACUAACUAAAAGAACAUAUUAAUUAUAAACGUUUUGCAUACAGUUUAAACCAGCACCUUAAGUUAAGACCCCUUAUUGUCAAUAAAAAGAUAUAGGAAGCUUUAGGAGAAAAAUCCAUCCUGUCUUCCUUUAUUACGUAUCUUCAAAUGAUGUUUAACCCACCAUCCCUUGGUGGGUCCACUUCUCUUUUUGAGGUUAACAAAUUAUUUUGGCCUAACAAUUAGUCCCAAGAAAAACAUUUAACUUUGAGACAUGCAAGAUCAGAUGAGUCACAUCUCAUUUGGAUCCCUUUCCUUUGCAAAAGUAAAGGUCUGGUCUCCUGGAAGGAUAAAUUUAAGCAAUGAAUGAGUAGGAGGCUCUCUGAGUAGUCUUUCUACUAGGAUGAUCACAUGUCCUCGUUCAGAGACAAGACACAUUAUUGAAGAGUGUUUCCUGAGAGUCAAUGUAAAUAACAUAUUUAUUAGUACAUUUUGGCACUGUAGGAGUAAUGACCCAUUGAGUAAAUGGCCCAUUCUUCAUUUCUUCUGUUCCUUGAAGGGGACAAGAAGGCAGAGGUUACGAAGUGUAAGUUUCUGCCUCUCUUUGAUCAUCCCAAGGUACACAGAUAGGUAUUUUAUUUUUAUUUUAUUUGUUUGUUUUUUUGUUUUUGUUUUAAUCCAUGUGGAACAACUCAAAGAAGAGCUCAAAGGAAGAAUUAUUCCUCAUUUUCUAGUGUUUUAAAAUUUUAAACAAAAACAGCCCUAAUCCAUAUACCAUCAUAGAUACUGAUUGUAUAUAUUAGAAUGAGGACUGAUAGAGUAAAAAGAUUAAUACAUUUGCUGUAAUGUGUUUAUGCUUUCUAUUUACAGUUACCUAACAUCCUGCUAUUCUGCCUGAUGUAGGAAAAGUGUGGUAUAUCUAAAGCAAGCAUUUAUACAGUUUAGUAUAAAUAUUUUUUGAUAUUUGAUAUUUCAUGGGAAAAUGGUAUAAACCAUUAAAAUAUCCAGUUCCAAACUUACUAUUUUAGGGAGGUCUUACUUCAAAUGUUAAUAAACUGGAAUUUCAACAGCAAUGAAGAAUAUGUUAACUACAAUAGGAGCUCUGGGUUUAUUAUGUUAUUAUGUACUUUCUCUAAUGAAAAGUAGCCAAUUAUUUUUGAGGUGUGCAAAAUAUCAUUUAAUUAGCUCUCUAGAAGUUCUUUAGAGUGAGAGAAAUGUAAAAUUAAUCAAAAUCUUGUUUUUAAAAAUUACAUAGAAUGUAAUACAUUGUUAUUUUCCAAUUGAAAAUUGGAAAUUAUGAAUUAUGAAGCUCAAAUACGUCUUCCUUUUUAGAGCCAGCAGUACACAGUAAGGGAGUGGAAAAGCUGCUUGCAGAUUUUAUACUUAGAAAACCUUUAAUUAUUUUCUUGGCUUGUGUAGUCAGUUAAAAUGGGUAAACUGAAACUGAAAGACACUAUCUCCUGCACCCCAUGUUUCCUCACCUUCCAGUUAUUCAGACUCAGGACCUGUCCGAACAGGCCCAGGUAUCACAGUUCCCUUUCCACUUUAAGCACAAUUAAGAGUGGGUUUAAGUAUGGAUCGUGCUUGAAGAUAAUAAGGAGUUAAGGUGCCACACCCUUGACCUGUAAGCUGAGGAAAGUGUUUUCUUCCUCUUGUUUAAAGCCUAAACUCCACAGUCAUUCAGGGCCAAUUCAGAAGCAUGUGAAUGCUAAAAAUCAUUAGCACUUCUUGGCUGAUACUAAUUCUAAUCAUAGGCUGUUAUUUCAGGAGCUCAACAAAGUGUAUGAAUGGUUUUGUGCAUUUUAUAAACAUUUACACAUAUAAAUAUAAUUUCAUUUAUUUAUUUGUUUGUUUAUUUAUUUUUGAGAAGAUUAAGGAAGCCACUCCAUUGUUAUAAGACCUUUCUUUACUACUCUUCCCCAGUAUUUCUACUGGCAAAAUAAAAAUCCAAAACAUAGAAAAAUGUCAUGUUUGCUUAAAAACUUAGUUUAAGAACUCCAAAACUUUAGCUUAGUUCAGUAUGAAGGUUUAUGUGUGUCUUAUGAGCUUGACUUAUUGCAGGAGGAUUACGAUACAUGCACUGUAAUGGAAGAAUUUGCAAUCCUCAAUAGUUUGUUGUUGUUACAGAAAAUACUAAAUUAUAAUAGGUUACUUUCCAUGUAUUAAAAGUACCUGAGAUUUUAGCAUUCAAAACAGCAAAGAUUUUUCCCCUUUCAUUAAAAGCAAUCAUCUCUUUGAAAGGAUGUCCAUAAUGAUUGAAGUAAGAUUCAUCAUCAUAAGAAACAACAGGUGGAAAGCCAAGCUGAGCAAUAAGAAGAAAAAUGUUUUUGUCCCUUUGCACUAUUUAACAUCUUUGUUGGAUAUUUUCUCUAGUGUAUGUUUAACUUGAAUGUUUUAUGAUUGCACAGGAGGUUUUAUAGCACAGAAGUUCUGCAAAGACUUGAAAAGUACUCAGAUGAAAUGAGUUUCAUUUAAAGAUAUUGAAUAUGAAACACCAUGAAAAAUAAAUUAUUCUCUCCUUAUUUAUUUAUUUAUUUAUCCUGCAUAUAUCCUGUUCACUUCUGAUGUUUUUCUUCUGUAUCACAGGCUUAUUUCUGUAAGUAGCAGUAUAAGUUUUUGUAAAGUUGAGUAUUCUCAUCUUUGUGAAAGAGAGCAUGAUAUGAACUUCAAAUUCUUUCCACUCCCACCACUAGAAUAAUUUCUAUUGUAUUUUAAGCAUGGCUUUUUUCAUAAUUUUUCUUCCUUCGCUGCAGUAAGUGUCCUUCUGUCUGACAUAUCCUCUAAGGUAUUUUAACCUUGUGGUAAAUAAACUAUUACAAAACAGUCAGGUUUUCAAAGUUACUGUAUGCUGUGACUAUUGUGUGGUGAGUUCUAGAGAGAGUUGUAUGAUGAUUUGUUUAUAGGAUUGUUUUCUAUGUUACCAAGACUAGAAAAACAAACAAACAAACAAACAAAACAACAGCUCAACUUUCAAAUUAAGCCUGAGAAAAGGAUGUCUAAUGUCACAUGUACCAAAUAGGGGAAACUAUUUGGUAUACUUUUUUGGAAAAAGUAUAGUUUCCCUUGUGCAGUGAAAAUGUAAACAUCCCACAUCAAUAGUUUCAGUAACCCAUGGGAUUAGGUGGUCCUGUUUCUAAAGAAAAGGAGGUGCCUAGUUUGUUUGCUUCUUUGUAACUUUCCAAUUGCUUAAGGUUUUUCAUUUUUCAGGAGAGGAGUUCCAUCUUUUUCAGACCAGAAAAAAUGAAAUGAAAUGAAACUCACUGAACCUUCAGAGUGCAAAGAGUAGUUUCUGUGGCAACGAUCACCCUUUGACAGCUCUAAGAAUGUACCUUUGCUUCCCAUGACUUAUUUACUGUUUCAGUAAUGCAGAUGGCAAAGCUGAGAUCAGCAAGUCAUGCAAUGUCCACUCAUGAUAUAAAGCAUAAAAAUGUAAGUAUCAGAAAAGUUUAUGUAUGCAACAAAAGAGAAAAACAAUAAAAAAAUUAGAUAGCAUUCAGAUGAUUUAUUGAGUUAAUCCAUAAAGCACUGGUAAAUCAGUGAACAGACUAAUUCAGACAACACAUUCUGCUCAAAUAACUGUUUUUCUGGUUUGAAGCAUUAUGUUUAACUUUCUUAAAUGAAAAACUGGCUCGUUUUUCUGCUUUAUCCUCCUUUAAUUAUGCUUUCAUUCUGUACCUGAGCCAAACAUCUGCACACCUGUGCUGUUACUGUUUUCUUUUAUCUUGCAAGGACAUACACCAGGAUUACAUGUUCCAUCUGAUUAGAAAUACAUAAAGUGCUGUGCUUUUGUCGAUGUUUGAGACAGUCUGUUCAUGCCAUCCACUUAGGACCCACAGCUGUUCUUGUUUGUGUCAGCUUGGGUUAGUUCCCAGCACUGAACCUCUCUGCUAACAGAUCGGUGAUAACCUAAUGGACUCCUGUUAGUGAUCCUUCCCCUUCCCCUUCCCCUUCCCCUUUCCCUCCCCUCCCCUCCCCUCCCCUGAGCACUAAGAACAGGAUGAAUUAUGAGUCAAAUGCCAGAGGAUCCCAGGUAUUUUUUUAUUUCAGAGUAUUUAGAUGCCUAAAAAAUCAUUUUUAUACAUAUAUAGCUACCUAGUGGUAUCAGCCAGAAACUGGCAGACUCAGGACUCAUUUUAAAAUUGUGUUUGGUGUAAGACAGUUUUCUGGAAUGCUACCUCAAAGGAAUCUCUGAAGGAAAAUUCACAAGGAAGCAGCAAAUGAGAUGUAUGAGCUUCUAGAUGUUUCCAUCCUCACUGACCUAGUUAGAUAAACAUCUGAAUGGCUCUAUUGAUUGGAUCCUAAGACAGGUUAGGUAGGUGACACUGACUGAGAUCUGUGCACCUGUUGUCACUCACAUCAAUUGGUGACAUGUAUGUUCUUUUUUCCUUUAAAAAAUUAGAUCUAGGCUUCUGCAUAAUGCAGUUAGGAAUAUAUAUUCUUUGCUUGAAGUAGCAAAUACACAUUACUGAACAAUAAGGUAUUAUGAAUAUUGUUAUUUUCUUUACCUAUCAUUCUUUUAAGCUAAUGAAAUAUGCUCUCUAUGCCAUCUCUAGGUACACUUCAUUUGGAUAAAGUUAAGGGCGAAAAAAAACACGAGCAUUGUUAAAAAUAGAAAACAACUUUCUGAUAACUCCUCUCAUCCACUUAAAUGCAGAUGUAUUUUACCUGUUCACAGACACAGUCUACAUAAAUAGUACAUCUUUCACAUAUAGCCCUUUGAGUUUUCAUUAUUAUUACUAUUUUAUUUUAUUUUUUUUGCCAAAAGAGAAUUUUUUACAUGCAGAUGUUUCAUUCUGAUUUCUGAUGUUUAGUCAAUCCACAUUGUCUUUGGAGAUAUAGUUGUGACUUUUCACAGAAAAUGUAAUUGCAAUGUCUGUUCCAGAUUGGAUUGAAAAAUUAAUGACAGGAAAAAUGAUAUAUUGGUAUUUACUAUCAUCAUUGAUAUUUCAAGAGUUGGAGAGAGCCAGCAACAGAUUUGAAAGCUGUUUGAGUAAGUCCCUGUUUGAGCUCGUUCCAGUCUUGAAUGACUAACUUCCAUCUCUUACCUAUUAUCUUUGCAGAAUAUUCACCUUACUUUUGGCAUUGUGUUUAUCUGAUUGCUUCAGGCAAAAUUAGAUUACUGACCUCAUCACUUGGAGUUUUGUUUUAUUCUCAGCAGAAAUCAGUUAGAUCAAACUCAUACAAAGGAUCAGCAAUGAAGCUGGUUCUGGGGGAAUUUUAUUUUUCAUUUGCUUUUAUUUUCCUUUUAUUUCUUUUGUGAAACAGUUUUUACUAAGAUAGGAGUGAAAAUUGAAAGCUAGGUGAAAUAGUGGUGAAACAAUGCAGCUAUUACCUAAGAAAGAGAAGAGAAAAAAAAGUGCAAGCAUUUCCCUGAUGCUACGUUAAUUUACUGUCAAAACAUUUGUCUUUGAAAGUAAUUUAAAAUACUGAUUAUUUAUAAGCUCAGUAGGUUUUGGUUGUGGAGCUGAGACAGUCUACAUACAUAUUGUCUGGAAAAAAAAAAAAAAAACAACUUAUAUGUACAACAUAAAAUGAUUAAUAGAAUCGACUGAAUUUUUUAUGUAAUGUUUCAAUAAUUAGAAUAAAAGCGUUUCUUUAUUCUCUUAUCAUGAUUACUAUUGAGCUACUCAUAUACAAGGAUACCUAAAAAUAUAGAUUAUUUGGAAGUAUUUCCAUGGUAAAUCAAAUCCCAAUUUCCCAUUUCUGUAAGUGUCCAGAUUGAAUGAUUCAGAAAGAAGUGUAAGGAGUCUCAGGCAACUGUGUGAUCACUUUUACCAACAGACUCUGCUCCUCAUACCAAUUAGAUUCAGAUUGCUGCAGAUCCUGAGAAACUAUAACAAACAUUUUACUGGUGGACAACUGCUGACAAUUAAAAGGAAGGCAGCAUUACUACUUCAAAAUCAGAAGGAAAAUGAAACAAAACACAAUCACAAUAGUUAAUUCUUUUUAUUUCUUCACCCCUCUGACCAGGGAUGUUGACUGAGUGCUUUCCACAUUAAAUUACUUAUCAUAUGUCCUAAUUGAAUGCAAAUUCCUCUGCUGUAUUUCACCUAAAGCAAAUAUGUGUCAGCUGGUGCAUGCAUCCUAAGGCAGCAGAAACAGAGAUAAAAACCUAACUUGCAAGGGUGUAAACUAUUUCACUGCAAAUCGCUUCAACAGAAACAUUAAGCUAAUGUGCUAAUCUCACAAGUUUUAUCCUCCGCCCUUUUUCCUGAAGUGCCAGCCAUCUAACCUUCUCCCAACAACUUCAGCUUUGAGUGUAGCUGGUACAAAAGAAAGUAGCAUGGAGACAACCUUUCUACAAGUCUGAAGAUAGCGCAGAAGCAAUUGAAAUUUCUUUGAUAUCAAGGAGUCUUUGAGCUUGACAGAAGUAGCUAUGCCAGUAAUGCCUCACUAGUCAGCACAUAAUCUUUGCAUUUUUGUUCUAACAAAUUACACAGCUUUCUUAAAUGUGUUACAUUCAAUUAAAGGCUUUCCCAAAGGGUAGGCUAAUUUAGUUUUUGCUGCCUUCAGAAUAAGGAACCAUGAUCAGUGUAUUCUGACCAUGAAUACACAUGGUUGAAGAGGUGAGAAAACACAGCUGCGAUGGAAAGCCAUGGCUGGAGAAUUUGCCAAAUUAUGGCUUGGUACUGGUACGACAUGGCAAGCUGGGAGUGGCAAAAGCUGCUUAUAAGGAAGCAACCAUCACCCUCCAUACUUUCCCCCUGAAGGAAUUUAUACACUGUCGUUCUUCUGCCAGCAGCAGCAAAUCUGCCUUUCCCAAGCUAUGCCCCUAAUGGUAGAAGUGCUCUAGGCAUUUUCCGUUCCUGGCUUACUACCCCAAUCUACAUACUUUGCUCAGAUAUAUUUAGAACUGGCCCUGAUUCAAGGUUAUAAUUAACUCAAUAGUUUUCUACAGUUUGCAUUUAAAUAAAGCUGCCCUGGCAUAUUCAGGUACUGCCAUGCAGAAUCUACUGAAAGGUCAAAAUAUUUUAUCCCACAUAGGUGAUGAUUAACUUCUUCAGCCCAGUUCACAGAAAAUUAAAAUUGCAUAAAAUAGUAACUAGCUACAGUUUGGGGGUUUGUUUGAAUGUUUGCUUUUAUUUUGUUUUUCACAAAUAUAUAAUUUGUCUAAUUUUAAUUAUAUGUGCAUUUGUGGAAAUUGAAUUUUAAAUCUCAACACACAAAAUCCAUCAAAACCAUUGUUUCUGUGUAAAUGCAUACAUGCCAAAGAGUUAUGCCAAAAGAUACAGAAAAGCUAGCUGAGCACAAAAUAAAAACAAACCAUGAAUAACUAGUUCAUCUGCUAUAAACUAGAUAAUUUACCCUGGAAAUUCAGAAAUUAAAUUCAUAUUAUAAAACAAAACAGGAAUUAUAUCAUGGAACAUGAACAGAGUAAUAUUAAUUAGAAUAGAACAUUGAAUUAUGUAAGGAUACUCCACAAUAUCCCUGUCAUUAUGUUAAAAAAGUUUCUUAGAGUGGUACCUAUAAAUCGUAUUUUAAGUAUAGGCCCGAGCCUAUAUUCCACAUAUUAUAAUACAUGUAAAAGUUUAUUUCACUUUAACUCAGUAUAGGAGAAAGUCCAAGUUCAGAUAGGACUUUAGGACUGAGAAAUAAACGUGUCCUUCUUAAGCUUUGGUACGGGGUCAUAUAAGCAGUAUCCAGAAUUUUUUGAUCACUUAAUUGAUUCCUGUCACAAAUCCUUGGUGAUGUCAGACAGAAUCAGGCAAAAGACCUUGUUAAGGAAGCCCAAACAACACAGGAGGGACUUGCUGGUAGGCUGAUAAUCUCAGGCUGCCUUUGGCUGUCUGGACUGGAAGGAGUUUUAUAUCACAGCAUCAUGUUACCAGCCCACUGAAUAAGGUAGAAAUCAGUGACUUAAACCCAUGACAUCGCAUGAUGACAUGACUUACAAUUGUGUUAAUAAACCAUGAAAAGCAAACUGAAGUCUGAGAGAACCAUCAGGGUUUAAUAACUUUAGUAAGUAGAAUGCUAAUAUCUAUCUCUUUAGGAAAUUCAUCAUUUAUGAUGUUUUAUGAGUAAGCCUUGGACAAGUUGGCCAAGGUACUUGCCCCGUCUUUGUCCUUUUCUCAGACAUUUGCAACAAUACUGUAAACCUAGCCUGUGAGGAUGAUUGGCACAAGAAGGAAGCGGGGAUUAUUCAGCUGUGAUUCCCUGCAAACAUCUGCAAUGCUGCUGAACACAUGCAAACAAUUGUAUAAGGACCUUCAGACAGGGUUUUUUAUGAUGGUUCAAAAUUGUACUGUGUCCAGCCUCUUGUGAUUUCUUGCUGUCCUUUAAACACAAGCUUCCACCUUUAGCAUUGAGACUCUGACUGCUGCCUUGCUUCUUUCUGCUUUAAUUUCUUUUUCCUAUGAUCUUUCAUUUCCUCAAGUAUUAUAAACUGGGGCAAUCAUUGAAUACAUUUGAAUUAGAUUUCAAGUGCUUAAUGAUUUAAAGUCAGAAACAUUGCUUUACUAAUUAGUAUUUUUUUUCUUUCCCUGAGCAAUGCAAGAUGGGUAGGAACACUUUUGCUAAAUAUCAGAGUUUUUCUGAUUCGGGGUAAGGACAAAAUCUAGCUUAUUAUGUAUUUGAACAGGAAGUACACAAGAGUAAGUCAAUUUUAUUUUCAGUUCUCCUCCACUCCCCACCCCCAACAUUAUGGAUUACUGAAGUGCAAUGAAUACAUGUAAAUAAAUGUUAUUUCAGUGAUGUAAAACUCUUCAUUAACAUAAAAGAUAUGUAAAGUGCUAAAAGCACAUGCUAGGGGUGCAAGAACCUUCAGACAGUGGUGUUAGAGUUCAGUGAUUUAUGAGUGGGAACCGAAGGACAGGCCAGGCCAGAAAAGAAAAGUGAUGAGCCAUUUAUUGCAAUUACAGUAAGAAAAAGAUCAAGUGUACAAAUACAUUCCUGGGUUAGUCCAUUGUCUUAUUCUUGUAACUGAUGCUAUUUUGAUGAAUGAGUCUCUUGCCAGGAAAGUCAUGCUUGAUUAUUUUUUUUUUUACAUUUAUGUAUGUGCAUAUAAAUAUUUACUGAUGUCCCUGCAGACAUGUAACCAUGACCAGGGCUAUCUAAUUUCUUAGGUUUUAGUACCAACUGCAUCUGUGAAAGAUACAAAGGUACAAAGAUGACCAUAAGUUUCACAAGGGGUCAGUUUGAAAUCAUUGUUUACUUUUGUAGAUAGUCUUGUCACACUAUGCCUAUUCUCUUCAGAGCAGAACAAAGGAUGAAUUUAUUACACAGUGCAUAUCUCUAGCUUAUCUAUACAUAUGUAUGUAUAGCUGAAGUGUAAAAGGCAAUAUUGAAGUUAAUACAAAUUCUUUAAUAUUUUACAAUACUUAUUUAUGUAGCAGUUUUUCUCUGUUGCCAGCAGAAGGUCACUGGGGUACCAUGGUUAACGUGUUUAAGAGGGAAAAAAAAAAAAGUCUGUAGUAUCCUGAUACAGGUUUUGGACAGCUCUUCAGAGCUACAAUUCUGUCUUCACAGAGAAAGCUUUGGGAGCUCCCCUUUUCAGCUGUGGGACCCUGACAGCAAAGCUAAAAGGCAACCCAUUAAAUGGCUAAAUUGGGACACAAGACAGUUAUGGAGAUUUUGCUCUGCCUGUUUUUGUCAAUCAGUUUUCUCACUGAUUGAUUGAUUUAUUGUGAUAGACUGAAAAUAGUAAGAUAAAAAUUGGAGAUUUUAGCUAGAAAUAAGUUACUUUUAAGUUUACUUUUAAAAGUGAAGUGGGGAGAGGCAAAAGAUACCAGAGAGGAAGAGCUUUAACUGACAAACUCUGCUAGUUAAAAUUGUUAAGAGUUAGGAAAAAAACAGUUAAUUAGAUGGAAAAGGAGGAGUAAAAUUUCAGUUUUAGCCACUUCAUUAAUUUCCAUCAGUUGUCCAGAAAGUUUAGAGAUUUACUGCUAAAGUUAAGGAAAGAAAUAAAGAUAUCUAUUAGCAACUUCACAUGGACAGUUUUGACCAGAACGCAGACUGAGAUCUAGCUGCCCUUGGAUAACAUCAUUAACUGUAAAACUAGGUCAGAAAAAAUACUUAUACAAAAAAUCUACUCUAAGGUAGAAACAGGCUCAUGUGAAAAUUAUUUAUAAAAAUUAAAUUUGGAUAGCUUUUGAAAAUAGUAAGCUUAUUUAUAUGUAUAUUUUUGCUUUAAGACCUCUGCGAAUGUCAUCACAAGGACUGAUUCUGCUCUUCUUCCUCUGGAACAUCAGGAUUAACAUCAUGAUGGAACAGUAGUAUGUGGCUACCCUCAGUAAAGGGAAACUGGACACAGGCUGUAAAAAUUUCUUUUUCUUAAUGCCAAUUAAAUUUAACAAUAAUUGCUGAGCAUUUCCUGACGCCUUGUCCAUUGGUACAAUCAGCGUCCAAUUCCUAUGAAAGGAAUAGUGACAAAAAAAUGAUGAAAGAUAUCGAUGUUAGAGUAAUAUGGGUAAAUUUUCUAUCUUUUUACAUUAUUAGUUUGUAAAUUAUUAUCCAUUAUUUGCACUAUCUAUGCAGGAUUCCCACUGCAUAGUGUGCAUGUUAAAGUACAAUUUAGAAAGGCACAAUGCCCUUAAAAUCUUAUCAUUAAUUUUCUGCAUUUCCUGACUUUUCAUCAAUAUGACAUUACCUGAACAUUAAUUGAAUUGAGCAAGCAUUCAAUUCAUUAAUUACAUUGUUACAUAUAGUAUCAAGGAAAACACAUUUCCAGAAUCCAAUUUCCUGCAAAGGAGGACAUUUUCCAAGCUUGAGGUAUGCUAAUACUUGUGUUUAAAAUAUUUGCAAAUGAUUUUAUGACCAUUAAUAAUACUGCACUUCAUCUACAUGCAGAUAACAAUCUGGAAAAAAAUGCCAUCUGUUCCUUUCAACAGCAUUUUAAUAGUAUUUAUAUAUGGCUCUAAGAAUGUUCUCCCAUAAGAUUAAAAUCUUAGAUUUGUCACAAAAUGGAUUAAUUUUUGUUGCCAUUUUCAGAUCUCAUUAUAUUUUUGGCAGAAAGCAAAAUGGUUUUGUGUCAUUUUCUGUUCCUUUUACAAGUUUGUCACUGAUAAUGCUUUGUAAAGAUAAAUUUACAUCAAGUAUUGAGCCUUGUGAUAAUUCACUCUUAUGGCAGGACAGCACUGAUUAGAACUGCAAAUUCUACAAAAUCAGUUGACUUCUCCACAUAAAUAUCACAGGAGGUGGUAUAAGUAUUGCUUGUUUCUCAUGGUAAUUUAUAUGCAAUAAAAAGAAAAAAAAAAUAAAAGGUUUGUUAUUUAACAUGGAUGAGAACACAUUCACUGAUGAUUCCUGAGAUGACUUCUAUUUAGAGAGCAAAUAUAAGAAAAGGCAACAAUGCAAAAAAGCAUAAUUUAUGUCCUUAUGCAAGACUGAAUUGUGUAGCAUUUAAAAACCUCAUAAUGCAUAAUAGGGAAUUGUUAUCCUAAUUUUGCAGAUAGAUAGAAAUUUGACCAACGAUGUGUCAGACUGACUGAGAACACAGCUGUUUUUUGACAAAACUGGAGUUCCUCCCCAUUCCAUAACCAGAACUCACUGCUGAUUGAAAACAGUGAACUUUCCAUAGGAGCACUCCUACAAACUAACACAUAAAUCAGAGCAAACCAGGCUAGGAAAGACUUUUUUUCACUGCUCUGCGAAUUUAGUACAUUUUAGGUGAAAUGAUUUGAUAAAUACAAAAUAAUAUGAUAAUGUUAAGUAUUUUCAGAGUCAGUGGCCUAUUUCUUUUUCCUGUUAAUGUAACCUUUGUAUAUGGGUAUGUUUUUGUCAAAUCCAAGGGUCAGUAACUUUUGUCAUUGCCAUAACGUGAUGACAGUGGAUGCUGAGAGAUUACAUGGACUCAAGGGGAACUUGGACAAGUUCUUCUUUAAAUUGUGACCCUGAAAAUGCUGGGCAACAAAUGACAGGGCUUUGGGAUAGUGUCUGUGGGAGACUUUACUACAAAUUUUAGUUGUUGUUUUACACUUUGAAAUCUUCCACUGUUAGUUGUGUUUUGAGACAAGAUACUGGAUAAAUGGUUCUGUCUGACCUAAAGCAGCUAUUGUUACAUUCUCAUGUUCUAGUUUACACUCACUUGCUAGUAGUUAUCGUUACUCAGAUCCUUUUAUUUUUUUUCUCUACUUCACACAAAUCUGGUCAUAGAAUAAUUUUAAAAUUCUGCUUACUCCCAUUUCUCACUUCCUUGUAGAAAAAGAAAGCACAGUGAGAUUUAAACACACUUAACACAGAUGCUGUCAUAACAGAAGCAAAGCCAUAUUUGUCCUUGAUUUGAGGUUAAGAAAAAAAAAUAAAGAAAAAAGAAGAAAGCACUGAAAGACUUGCUUCUUUUGAAAGUAAAAAUAAGAUCUAAAAAUACAUUUACAACUUACUUCAGGCAACUGAUUUCAUGUAAUAGUUGAGAACCCCAAAGAACAGGUCAUAUUUCUAACUUUCAAAAAUCUGUAUAUUUACUCUGAAGUCAACAUAUGGUGCUUGAAGCACAUUAUGACUGAAGAAAGCAGAAAUAAAUAAGAAAUAAAUAGAUAUAAAAAUAACAUUUUUUAAGAAGAAAUAAAUAGAAUUAUUUGUGCCCUAUUGAUGAAGUAUUUCAAAACCAAAAAAGCAUCUGCUUUAGAAGAGUAUUCCAUGCUCUUAUUCAGCAUGACCUUGUUAACUCUCUGAAUAUUUCACUGUAGGUACAUCUCUAAUCCAGAUAAGGUAUUGCGAGAUGCAGUGUACAGCUAUUAAUGCAGACACAAUAAGAUGACAGACAGAAAAUGUUUGAAAAAUGUUAUAUCUGAAUUUGAAGUGCCACAACCCAUUGCUUUAUAUACGCCUAUAAAAUACUAAAUUAAAGGUGCAUGCUCAAGGGGUAGGUUUUGGCAUACUUAAAAAAAAUCUGUCUAUGACACAAAAAAUAGCUACUUAUUCCCCCUUAUUAGAUGGAAUAGAUCCUUUGAAAACUUAGCUUUCUUUCCUUUCCAGUCCGGGUAAUCAUUAAUGUAAAGAUGUAUGUCAUAUAACAUUUAUAUACACAUACACACACGCAAGUACACAUACAGAAAGAAAAAAUCCUAAACUUUGAUGACAGAAGUUAGUAGGCUCAACUACAUUCUUGUAUGUCUUUCUACAAAUAAUUUCAGUAUAUUUAUAACAAUAUUUCUAACUGAAAUACUAAUUACUGAUCUAUAAAGUGAUAUGAAACUAUUUACUUGAAACUAAUCAAAUGCUUGACUUAAAAGAAAAAAAAAACAGUACUAAUAACUUGGGAUGAUUGCCUAGUGAGCAGAAUAAAGAUGUAGCUACAAAAAUGUAAAGUUAACUUUUUUUUUUUUUUUAAUUAGCAUUUAUUUAAACUUUCUACUUUUCUUCUUUCUCUACAUAAAAAAAGCACCUUGCAGAUACACUUUAGAUUUCAUUAGGAAGAAACUGUGUUGGUAAAGCUAAAAAACUCUGGACUAAUAGAGUCCUAAAACAAAACAAACGAACAAAGAAACAAACAAAAACAGAGUAA
This is a non-coding RNA of Anas platyrhynchos (mallard), 16386 nucleotides long. NCBI's taxonomy places the organism in Eukaryota, Metazoa, Chordata, Aves, Anseriformes, Anatidae. The record is from RefSeq and is a predicted model, not a curated record.